UCACCAAAUUAUUUCCGUAGCAAAUAUUCAGGAUGCUACAUCAACCGAGUUUUUGAAAGCCCAACAUAAUCAUAUUGGGGUGAUUUUAGACGGAGAUUGCAAUGUUGGGAUUACCAGCGAUUUUUUGAAACAGUGUGGGUCCAAUAGACUCUUCUCCGUCAAACAUCACUGGUUAAUAAUGACCUCAAAUGAAACUUUCUUCGAGAUUUUUAAAAACGUCGAACUUUAUAUUAAUGCCGAUAUUCACGUCGCUCAUUCCUCAAAGGCAAAUAACUCCUACCCCAUAGAAGAUGUAUUCAACCCUGCCUAUGGAAAAGGUGGAGAGUUGAAAAGGCGAAUUAUUGGUUAUUACAGUCGGGAAAGUGGGUAUUCAGCAAGACAAAAGGAAAGAAAAUACUGGUUGAGGAGAAACAUGACCGGAGUAACUUUGAAAUCACGUAUUGUCUUGCCUGUCCCCUUCAAAGGAACAUUAAUGGAGUAUUUGAAUAGUGAAAUCCACAGAGAAGUAAACACUUUCAACAGGUUUCAUUAUAGCCUGAUGUCUCCAUGUGUGAACUAUUA
This is a long non-coding RNA of Leptinotarsa decemlineata (Colorado potato beetle), 561 nucleotides long. NCBI's taxonomy places the organism in Eukaryota, Metazoa, Arthropoda, Insecta, Coleoptera, Chrysomelidae. The record is from RefSeq and is a predicted model, not a curated record.